GCCAGGUGCUGUGGUGCACACCUGUAAUCCUUGCAACUUGGAAGGCUGAGACAGGAGAUUCACAAGUUCAAGGCCAGCCUCAGCAACUUAGCCAGACCCUGUCUCAA
RNAcentral lists this small RNA (107 nucleotides) under Marmota monax (woodchuck). The record is from RNAcentral. Lineage: Eukaryota; Metazoa; Chordata; Mammalia; Rodentia; Sciuridae.